GGCUGGUCUGAUGGUAGUGAGUUAUCAGAAUUUAUUAAAAUUAUUAGUGUCACUGAAGUUAGUAUGUAACCCCCCACUAUUAAAUCUAACUACUUUUUU
This is an unclassified non-coding RNA of Chlorocebus sabaeus (green monkey), 99 nucleotides long. It matches the Rfam family "Y RNA". Rfam says of the family: Y RNAs are components of the Ro ribonucleoprotein particle (Ro RNP), in association with Ro60 and La proteins. The Y RNAs and Ro60 and La proteins are well conserved, but the function of the Ro RNP is not known. In humans the RNA component can be one of four small RNAs -- hY1, hY3, hY4 and hY5. The record is from Ensembl. Lineage: Eukaryota; Metazoa; Chordata; Mammalia; Primates; Cercopithecidae.